GAUGAAUGCUGGCGGCGUGCCUAACACAUGCAAGUCGAGCGGCAGCGAGUUUUACACUGAAUUCUGGAAGCUUCUGAGUAGUACAGAAGAUUUAUUCAAGAGUUUUGUGUAACAUGUCGGCGAGCGGCGGACGGCUGAGUAACGCGUAGGAAUUUGCCCCAAAGUGAGGAAUAACUGCCCGAAAGGGUAGCUAAUGCCGCAUAUGGGCUUCGGAUUAAAGCCUUCGGGCGCUUUGGGAGAAGCCUGCGUUGGAUUAGGUAGUUGGUAGGGUAAUGGCCUACCAAGCCGACGAUCCAUAGCUGGUCUGAGAGGAUGAUCAGCCAGACUGGAACUGAGACACGGUCCAGACUCCUACGGGAGGCAGCAGUGAGGAAUCUUCCACAAUGGGCGAAAGCCUGAUGGAGCAACGCCGCGUGAAGGAUGAAGGCCUUCGGGUUGUAAACUUCUUUUAUGAGUGAAGAAUAUGACGGUAACUCAUGAAUAAGCACCGGCUAACUACGUG
Molecule: ribosomal RNA, 502 nt
Filed under: uncultured bacterium
Lineage: Bacteria
Description: partial 16S ribosomal RNA
Rfam family: Bacterial small subunit ribosomal RNA
Source: RNAcentral